AGAUGCUCAUUUUCCUUCUGACUCUGGCUCCUACAUAACUUAGCUUCUCUGAGACAUCCGCCGUGCUGUUGUCAUGAGGUUUUGACCCAGGAACUUUGACUCCCUUGAGCUUUAUCCUCCCAACUUCCUGUUGCUUUGAUGAGGAAAUUUCCUCAGAGUCUCCUGUUACACUUCACGAGGGAAGACCAUGGCUGGGCCCCGCUUUCUCUUUUGAGCAUCCGAAGUGUCCCUUCCAUCCUCUUCCUCGGGUCAAGUCCUGCUUGACUGACAGCUCCUGGAGAGCAGGGCCAAGUCUGACUCAGCCCCAUGUCCUCUGGCCCGGACCAGGCAGGUGUCUGGUCUUGAGCUGUUCCUGCCUUUCUCCAAGGCAUCCACUCCUUGGGAUUCAGUUUUGAAAGAGAGGUAUCAGCCAUCAGCGGAAAUCUGUGUCCC
Molecule: long non-coding RNA, 432 nt
Organism: Mustela erminea (ermine)
Lineage: Eukaryota; Metazoa; Chordata; Mammalia; Carnivora; Mustelidae
Exons: 3
Source: RefSeq, a predicted model, not a curated record